AUUGAACGCUGGCGGCAGGCUUAAUACAUGCAAGUCGAACGGUAACAGUGAGGAAGCAAUUCCUUAGCUGACGAGUGGCGGACGGGUGAGUAAAGUUUGGGAAUCUGUCCUGCAGGGGGGGAUAGCAGCUGGAAACGGCUGAUAAAACCGCGUACGCUCUGAGGAGGAAAGUGACGGGAUCUAGAAAUAGACCGUCAGCUGUAGGGUGAGCCCAAAUGGGAUUAGCUAGUAGGGGUGGUAAAGGCACACCUAGGCGAUGAUCUCUAGCUGGUUUUAGCGGAUGACCAGCCACAUUGGAGCUGAGACACGGUCCAAACUCCUACGGGAGGCAGCAGUAGGGAAUAUUGCACAAUGGAGGGAACUCUGAUGCAGCCAUGCCGCGUGUGUGAAGAAGGCCUUCGGGUUGUAAAGCACUUUUAUUAUAGAGAAGAGUAGGCGUAAUAAUAAGACGCAUAUGAGAUGUAACAUAAUGAAUAAGGACCGGCAAACUCCGUGCCAGCAGCCGCGGUAAUACGGAGGGUUCGAGCGUUAAUCGGAAUGACUGGGCGUAAAGGGCUGGUAGGUGGCAGCUUGAGUCAGCAGUGAAAUCCCCGUGCUUAACAUGGGAACUGCUGCUGAGACAGGGCAGCUAGAGUAUAGCAGAGGGAGACAGAAUUCCAAGUGUAGCGGUGAAAUGCGUAGAGAUUUGGAAGAAUACCGGAGGCGAAAGCGGUCUUCUGGGCUAAUACUGACACUGAACAGCGAAAGCGUGGGGAGCAAACAGGAUUAGAUACCCUGGUAGUCCACGCCAUCAACGAUGUCAACUUGAAAUCUGUGAGAAGCUACGGCGAAGGACAUGGGUUUCGAAGCAAACGCGAUAAGUUGACCGCCUGGGGAGUACGGCCGCAAGGUUAAAACUCAAAUGAAUUGACGGGGGCCCGCACAAGCGGUGGAGCAUGUGGUUUAAUUCGAUGCAACGCGAAGAACCUUACCUGGUCUUGACAUAUCAGCAAUUGGUCAGAGAUGACCGAGUGCCGCAAGGAAACUGAAUACAGGUGCUGCAUGGCUGUCGUCAGCUCGUGUCGUGAGAUGUUGGGUUAAGUCCCGCAACGAGCGCAACCCUUAUCCUUUGUUGCCAUCAUUAAGUUGGGAACUCAAAGGAGACUGCCAGUGAUAAACUGGAGGAAGGCAGGGAUGACGUCAAGUCAUCAUGGCCUUUACGACCAGGGCUACACACGUGCUACAAUGGGGCGUACAGAGGGAGGCGAAGUCGCGAGACCAAGCGGAACCCAGAAAGCGCCUCGCAGUCCGGAUUGAAGUCUGCAACUCGACUUCAUGAAGCUGGAAUCGCUAGUAAUCGCAAAUCAGAAUGUUGCGGUGAAUACGUUCCCGGGCCUUGUACACACCGCCCGUCACACCAUGGGAGUGGAUUGCACCAGAAGUAGCUAGCUUAACGCAAGAGGGCGGUUACCACGGUGUGGUUUAUGACUGGGGUG
RNAcentral lists this ribosomal RNA (1475 nucleotides) under uncultured rumen bacterium. RNAcentral's name for it is "bacterial SSU rRNA". It matches the Rfam family "Bacterial small subunit ribosomal RNA". The record is from RNAcentral.